GGGGUUGUGGCUCAGCAGUAGAGCACACGCCUAGAACGUGUGAGGCACUAAGUUCGAUCCUCAGCACCA
This 69-nucleotide transfer RNA is filed under the name Ictidomys tridecemlineatus (thirteen-lined ground squirrel). RNAcentral's name for it is "Spermophilus tridecemlineatus (thirteen-lined ground squirrel) tRNA". It matches the Rfam family "tRNA". From Rfam's summary of the family: Transfer RNA (tRNA) molecules are approximately 80 nucleotides in length. Their secondary structure includes four short double-helical elements and three loops (D, anti-codon, and T loops). The record is from Rfam by way of RNAcentral. Lineage: Eukaryota; Metazoa; Chordata; Mammalia; Rodentia; Sciuridae.